AUUGAACGCUGGCGGCAGGCCUAACACAUGCAAGUCGAACGGUAACAGGAAGAAGCUUGCUUCUUUGCUGACGAGUGGCGGACGGGUGAGUAAUGUCUGGGAAACUGCCUGAUGGAGGGGGAUAACUACUGGAAACGGUAGCUAAUACCGCAUAACGUCGCAAGACCAAAGAGGGGGACCUUCGGGCCUCUUGCCAUCGGAUGUGCCCAGAUGGGAUUAGCUAGUAGGUGGGGUAACGGCUCACCAAGGCGACGAUCCCUAGCUGGUCUGAGAGGAUGACCAGCCACACUGGAACUGAGACACGGUCCAGACUCCUACGGGAGGCAGCAGUGGGGAAUAUUGCACAAUGGGCGCAAGCCUGAUGCAGCCAUGCCGCGUGUAUGAAGAAGGCCUUCGGGUUGUAAAGUACUUUCAGCGGGGAGGAAGGGAGUAAAGUUAAUACCUUUGCUCAUUGACGUUACCCGCAGAAGAAGCACCGGCUAACUCCGUG
Molecule: ribosomal RNA, 490 nt
Filed under: uncultured bacterium
Lineage: Bacteria
Description: partial 16S ribosomal RNA
Rfam family: Bacterial small subunit ribosomal RNA
Source: RNAcentral